ACCUGCAAAAUCAGCAAGGGGUCAAAUACUUUUUUCCCCCACUGUAUUUAAAUUAUUCUACCUUCAUUCACAUUGAUGUUUGAAACACUCAAGAAACUCCAAGAAAAUCUGAACAGGAUGGAUGUUUGUGUUGUGUGGCUGGGUUGAUGUUUUGUUUGGCAGGGUUACAACUCCAGGAAGGAGUUUAUUGCAGCUCAGGGUCCAUUGCCCACCACAGUCAACGAGUUCUGGAGGAUGAUCUGGGAGAAGAAUGUACACACCCUGGUCAUGCUGACACGCUGCAAUGAACAGGGACGAGAUCGAGGUGCGAAAUGGGAUCUCUGAGGAUCCAUCAGCAAGGAUACAUGAAAGCAGCCUUCACAGAAGUCUUUCACUGGCCGACAGAUCCCCUUUUUGAAAAUCAGUUAUUGAAUGGACGCUGCAGCUGAUUGGACUGACCUGAAGUAUCUGUCAUUUCCCACAUUAAUGUUAAUUUUGGAUACAAUUAAAGUGAGAGAGAGAAGAAGAGUAUGUAAAAUGUGAUCAGUACUGGGCAUCUGGGACCAAGCACUUUGACAACAUCAGUGAGAUAACAACUUCUGAAAAAACAUUUGAAUACUGGACCAUCAGGGACUUUAAUGUUAAAAAUGUGAAAACAGCAGAGACCUGUUCUGUGCGUCACUUCUACUUCACAGCCUGGCCAGAUCACGAGGAUCACAGGGUCCCAGAAACCACGGAGCCCCUCAUCAACUUAAGACAUUUGGUCAGAGAGCACAUGGACCAAUACUCCAGACACUCUCCCACUGUGGUCCACUGCUGUGCUGGAGUUGGACGAACAGGUAUCUUCAUAGCCAUUGACUGUUUGAUUUUCCAGAUUGAAGGAAAAAUAUUGUGGACGUGUAUGGCAUUGUCCAUUGGCCCCUUAUGGUGCCGAUAGAGGACCAGUAUGUGUUCUUAAACCAGUGUUCCAUGGACAUCAUCAGAUCAAGAACUGGAACCAAUGAGGAUCUAAUAGACCGAAACAAGGCUGCACUAUCUGUAUAGGUCUUCUAUUUCUCUCUUUAUUUAUAUUUAUAUUUUGGGAUAUAAUUAUUUGUUAAAUGUUAAAUAUUUGAUAAUGGAGGUUACAGUGGACAUAAUCACUGACCAAAAAUAUUUGGAUUAUAUGUAACCUUUGGUCAAAUCUAAAAUUGGAUUCUCUCUUAUUAUUGCAGUUUUGAUUUUCUGCUUUUUUUGUUGCGGUGACAGCCCGGCUGUUGGUGAGUAUCCUGUUUCUCCUUUCCCUCGCAUUCUGUUUUUUUCCUGUGCCUUCUCUUUCUCUCUGUGUGUGUGCUCUCUCCCUCUCUGCUCCGGAGCCCGGCUGGCUACCCACACCUGCACCUCGUUAACCUCCAUCCCCGGCCGCCGCACCUGCCAGCCAUCAGCCUCAUCAUGACCAGUAUUUCUACCCCGGCUUUCCACUCCAUCCUCACUUGAUGGUCGCAGCUCCUGACUUGGUGUUACUGCUUUGUUCUGGCUCUUUUGAAAUUUUCCUUUGUUUCACCUGCUAACCCUGUCUGUUUCCUCCUGCCAGGUUCACUCACAUCUGCCUCCCAGCCUCCUCCUCUCCACGACGCCCUCCGGCUUACCCCCCUUGCACUUCCAACUUUUGGAAUUGCCUUGUAGAACAGAAAAUGCUGGUAUGAAUGCUGUGCCUUGUUAAAAAACUUUUAUGCUUUAUCACCAAUAGGUGGCAUUCCUUCAUUUUCGUUUUAAACUGAAAGGACAAACAGGAAAAUGUUUUACCUUAUAUUAGGACCCUAUUGGGAAGAUUACGUUUCUGAAUAUAUCAUAUUUUAUUGAAGCUUGUCAUAUUGUCUAGACAAUUCUAUUUGUAGCUCUUUAGCCAGUUUGAACUGUGUAUUCCCUUUUAAUGAAGGUGUCCUGUUGUUUUUGAUAGAGAUUAAUUUUAUCAUUAUGGUGAUUACACUUUGGCCAGUGCUUUGUGAAACAUUUAGCUAUUCAGCCCACAUUUGAUUCAUACAGUUUUACUUUGAUUGAUUAAGAGAUGAGAAGGAUCACAUUAAACAAAAGCCCU
This is an RNA transcript of Micropterus salmoides (largemouth bass), 2056 nucleotides long. It is a transcript of the gene named receptor-type tyrosine-protein phosphatase eta, with no coding region annotated. The record is from RefSeq and is a predicted model, not a curated record. The transcript has 6 exons. Lineage: Eukaryota; Metazoa; Chordata; Actinopteri; Centrarchiformes; Centrarchidae.